GAUGAACGCUGGCGGCGUGCCUAAUACAUGCAAGUCGAGCGAACAGACGAGGAGCUUGCUCCUCUGACGUUAGCGGCGGACGGGUGAGUAACACGUGGAUAACCUACCUAUAAGACUGGGAUAACUUCGGGAAACCGGAGCUAAUACCGGAUAAUAUAUUGAACCGCAUGGUUCAAUAGUGUAAGACGGUUUUGCUGUCACUUAUAGAUGGAUCCGCGCCGCAUUAGCUAGUUGGUAAGGUAACGGCUUACCAAGGCAACGAUGCGUAGCCGACCUGAGAGGGUGAUCGGCCACACUGGAACUGAGACACGGUCCAGACUCCUACGGGAGGCAGCAGUAGGGAAUCUUCCGCAAUGGGCGAAAGCUUGACGGAGCAACGCCGCGUGAGUGAUGAAGGUCUUCGGAUCGUAAAACUCUGUUAUUAGUGAAGAACAAAUGUGUAAGUAACUAUGCACGUCUUGACGGUACCUAAUCAGAAAGCCACGGCUAACUACGUG
RNAcentral lists this ribosomal RNA (497 nucleotides) under uncultured bacterium. Its description in RNAcentral is "partial 16S ribosomal RNA". It matches the Rfam family "Bacterial small subunit ribosomal RNA", at positions 28 to 507 of the family's 1533-position model. The record is from RNAcentral.